UGGCCGCAGGCGGCCGGGCGGGCUGUAACCCGCCGCUGAACUAGCGCUUCUGUGUCCAGAGGCUUCGGCCUGGCCGCCGUCGCCUGUAAGCUACGAGGAGGAGAUUUACGACUUGGCCGGGCGCAGCAAAGGCCAGACUCUGCGCGAACAGGCGCUGCGCACCAACCGGCAGGCACCUGGCGGGCACCAUCGCACGGUGGCGCAGAAGCCCCUCAAUGGCCAGCGCCAGCUGCAGCCGCGGCCGCGCAGUCGUCCCACCUGAGCUUGGGCGAAUGUGGAUUGGGAAAGUCGACAUUAAUCAACUCAUUAUUCCUCAUAGAUUUGUAUUCUCCAGAGUAUCCAGGUCCUUCUCACAGAAUUAAAAAGACUGUACAGACUUAAACCAUUGGAUAUUGAGUUUAUGAAGCGUUUGCAUGAAAAAGUGAGUAUCACCCCACUUAUUGCCAAAGCAGACACACUCACACCAGAGGAAUGCCAACAGUUUAAAAAACAGGUAACUUUUCCGGUCACACACAACAGACUGAUUUUCCUGUGGAAGACCUCACAGGAGUUCUCUUGAACCAGGAGACUAUUUUGAGCUGAAAUACCUGGAGCCCUCUCAAGCUAUUUGGGCCUUUCAAUUUGAAACCCAGGUUUGGAUGAUUCUAAGCUCUAUGGCAGAGACUGUAAUCAUUUUCUCUUCACCCUCAGGUUGGGGACUCACCCUCAGGGUUGGGAGUGACUGCUGUCUCUCCAGCCCCCACCAAUUACACCAUGUUCUGGUUGUUAAAAUCCAGUGUAUGCAUGAAAUGUAAUAAAAGUAUCUUCGCAGCAC
This is a long non-coding RNA of Homo sapiens (human), 814 nucleotides long. Ensembl annotates it as septin 7 pseudogene 11. Its record names the gene SEPTIN7P11. Lineage: Eukaryota; Metazoa; Chordata; Mammalia; Primates; Hominidae. The record is from Ensembl.